CCCUUAGAUGUUCUGGGCCGCACACGCGCUACACUGAAGGAGGCAGCGUGUACUCCUGGAUCGAAAGAUUUGGGUAACCCGCGAAUCUCCUUCGUGCUAGGGAUUGAGGUUUGCAAUUAUCCUUCAUGAACGAGGAAUUCCCAGUAAGCGCAAGUCAUCAGCUUGCGUUGAUUACGUCCCUGCCCUUUGUACACACCGCCCGUCGCUCCUACCGAUUGAAUGGUCCGGUGAAGCGUUCGGACCGUGGCCUUUGGACGGUUCGCCGUCUGUUGGCUGCGGGAAGUUCGUUAAACCUUAUCAUUUAGAGGAAGGAGAAGUCGUAACA
RNAcentral lists this ribosomal RNA (325 nucleotides) under uncultured eukaryote. RNAcentral's name for it is "partial 18S ribosomal RNA". It matches the Rfam family "Eukaryotic small subunit ribosomal RNA", at positions 1470 to 1796 of the family's 1831-position model. The record is from RNAcentral.